AACUUGUAGCAACGGAUCACUUGGCUCUCGCAGCGAUGAAGAACGCAACGAAAUGCGAUAAGUAAUGUGAAUUGCAGAAUUCAGUGAAUCAUCGAAUCUUUGAACGCACCUUGCGCUCCUUGGUAUUCCGAGGAGCAUGCCUGUUUGAGUGUCAUGAAUUUCUCAACCUGUCUAGCUUUUAUAAAGAUAGGCAGGCUUGGAUUUGGAGGUUGCUGGCUUCUCAGAAACCGGCUCUUCUUAAAUAUAUUAGCAGAACCAUUGCUGAUUAUUCUUGGUAUGAUAACUAUCUAUACCACGGAGAAUUGGUUUCCUUCAUUGGACGGUUUCGCUUCUAACAGUCUUUUCAGACAAUUCUUGACAAUUUUGACCUCAAAUCAGGUAGGACUACCCGCUGAACUUAAGCAUAUCAAUAAGCGGAGGCU
This 422-nucleotide unclassified non-coding RNA is filed under the name uncultured Entoloma. RNAcentral's name for it is "sequence contains ITS2". The stretch from base 1 to 154 matches the Rfam family "5.8S ribosomal RNA". Lineage: Eukaryota; Fungi; Basidiomycota; Agaricomycetes; Agaricales; Entolomataceae. The record is from RNAcentral.